Molecule: long non-coding RNA, 844 nt
Filed under: Rattus norvegicus (Norway rat)
Lineage: Eukaryota; Metazoa; Chordata; Mammalia; Rodentia; Muridae
Description: long non-coding RNA NONRATT005105
Source: RNAcentral
CGACUAGUUCAUCACAGAUGCCGUGUCUGGGGAUAAAUCCACAGACCCAAGGGAGCCUAGCCCAAAAGGCAGUAUUUGCUUUCCAAAGAGAAUAGACCAGAAUUUGCUAGACUGCAAAGGUCCGUCAUGUAGGCAUAAUUGUUUACAGAUUCUAGUAGGGAGGCUGAAGUUGGAACCCUGAGUAUAACAUGUUUGCUUGCAGCCAGGCAUGGUGGUGGUGCACGCCUUUAGUCCCAGCACUCGAGAGGCAGAGGCCGGUGGAUCUACAUCAGUUCAAAGCCAGCCUGGUCUACAAAGUGAGUUCUAGGACAGACGGCCAGAGUUACACAGAGAAACCCUGUCUCGGGGAAAAAACAAACAAAAGGAAGUUUCCCUCAAAUCUGCGAGGCCUUGGGUUCAAUCUCCAAUAGCACAGAAGCCCUCAGCCAGGGUAGUAUUUUCUUGUUUUGGGGCAGGACUAUGCACACCUGUGACCUUACGUCUGAGGAAGCUGGGGCUUCAGGACCACAAGUACCAGGGCAGCCUGGGGUCUGUAUGGGGCCUGAGGAGUGGCAGUGGCAGGGGUUGCCUAGCAUUAAGGAGUUCCUGAACUCAGUCCCCAGUGUCCCCUUCACCAAGUAAAACACAAAACAAAUAUAAAUGGCUUUUAAAGAUUCAUUUUUAUGUAUUUAUGCAUUCAUAUAUGUACUUACUGAGACAGUUCUUUCUACAUGGUCCUGGCUGUCCUGGAACUCUGUGUAGACCAGGAUGGCCUUGAGCUGGCAGAGAUCCACCUGGCUCUACCUUUGGAAUGCUGAGAUUAAAAGCAUGCCCCCUCCCCCCAAAGCUUGUUUUUUAUUUAAAU